UUGCUUUGGCAGCAAAUAUACAAAAGUUGGAAUGAUACAGAUAAGAUGAGCAUGGUCCCUGCACAAGGAUGACACACAAAUUCGUGAAGCAUUCCAUAUUUUU
Molecule: small nuclear RNA, 103 nt
Organism: Bison bison bison
Lineage: Eukaryota; Metazoa; Chordata; Mammalia; Artiodactyla; Bovidae
Source: Ensembl